UCGGUGGUCUUGAAUGAGAUCUCCAGCCGCCCAGCAUGGCCUCUUCCUGACUCACCUUCCCCGGAGCCAGGCGUGGCACAGCUUGGCGCGGAGGGGGAUCUGGUUCAAGAACACAAUCCGC
Arthrobacter sp. is the source of this 121-nucleotide non-coding RNA. NCBI's taxonomy places the organism in Bacteria, Bacillati, Actinomycetota, Actinomycetes, Micrococcales, Micrococcaceae. The record is from Rfam.